CCAUUGUUGUUCAUCUGGAACCUGCCGCCGACGAACAUACACAUCCUGUGUUGCGCUACACUGCUCGAACGAGUGCUGUUCAAACGGAAAUCCGAAUCCCCGCAAUCUGCCGAUGACGUGGACGAUGGCUAUUCGUCUCUUGUUUUGGAAAAUGGUAAAAAGCAAACCGUGAUCGAACAGCUGUCCGGCAACAAAGGUGCAGCUCGAGUGACCGUUUUGAACAAACGGCUGGGAUUUCGUGACAUUGGCAUUCUGUUGGACGUUGAUACGGAUGAAGUGAUCAAAAUCGAAGACUACUGUGACAGGCUGUCGGUUGUAUCCGGCAUCAAGGAGAUUUCCAACGCCAUUGAGUCAAAGCUGUUGUCCAAUCCGUCCACGGAUCAUCAGCAAUUUUGAAAGACGCAGUAGGAGAAAACAGAAACAGAAAACAAUUUCUCUCCAUUCUUGGCCAGCAUUUUUCAUUCUGUAGUUGCUAUAUCAUUAUAUAAAUCAGUUAAUCACUCAAAAUAUGAUCGAAUAUAAUCUUCAUUAUGUACAGUUAAAACGAUCAAAUUACGUACGUUUUGUUUUACUUCUACAAGUUUCUCUUUCACUUUCUUCUUGCAUCAACGACACUUAUUCACUAAAUACAAUUUCACAACAAAUAAAAAUGGAAAACGAAUCACAGAGCAAGAAAAUGCAAUCAAAUUGUAAUGUAACUAAUCCAAAUGAAUUUUACUAAACAAUAAGCUAAUUUAUUUAAUGUUCAGAGACCGUUUGACCACUCGGAUCACAUCCUGUGGUGUCGGUUGUGCAGCAGUUUCUAAGUUGUGCGCAUAUGGCAUUGGCACUUCGACGCCAGCCACACGCAAUACUGGGGCGUCCAAAUAAUCAAACGCUUCAGAUUCCAUCACUUGAGCGCAAAUUUCCGCUCCGACUCCGCAAAAAUGCCAACCAUUUUCCACAGUAACCAAAUGGUUGGUUUUCAUCACGCUCUGCUUGAUCGUUUCCAUGUCGAAAGGGCGCAGUGAACGCAAAUUUAUAAUCUCUGCCGAUACACCCAUCUUUUCCAAUUCUUCAGCAGCAUCCAGACAAACCUGAACCAUACGACUGAAUGAUACCAGUGUAAUGUGACUGCCGUCCCGUUCCACCUUGGCCACACCCAUCGGAAUCAAAAAGUCAUCCUUCAUCGCCUCUUCGGACAUGUCGAAUGGAACGCCGUACAAUAAUUCGCUCUCCAAGAAAACAACAGGAUUUUCAUCACGAAUAGCUGUUUUCAACAAUCCUUUCGCGUCUUCAGACGAAAAUGGAGACAGUACCUUCAUACCAGGACACUGUGCAUACCAGGAUGAAAAAUCUUGACUAUGCUGAGCGCCGACACCAACUGCAGUAGAGUUAGGACCGCGGAAAACAAUGGGCGAAGAUAUCUGCCCAGCUGACAUGUACAAAGUUUUCGCACUGCUGUUAACGAUGUGAUCGAUUGCUUGCAUGGAAAAAUUGAAAGUCAUAAAUUCGCAAAUGGGUCGGAGCCCUGCCAUAGCUGCACCAACCGCUAAGCCGGUGAAUCCCAUCUCUGUUAUGGGAGUAUCAACUACUCGCCUAUCACCAUACUUCUUCCACAGUCCUUUAGUCACUUUAUAUGCACCUUCAUACUGUGCAACUUCUUCACCAAUCAAAAAUACUCGAUCAUCUCGAUGCAUUUCUUCAUCAAUUGCUGCAUUUAAGGCAUCGCGAACGGUCAUUUUUGCCAGAUACGCAUUUGAGGUGGAAAAUGUACGAAUGUACGGUGAAAAAAGAACCACUUUGUUUCGAAUUCCGUAGCAGGUCUCCAAGGUGAAUAGCCUCUGGCCGAUAGAAUAAUGUAGGUAAGGGAAGUCGGCAAAACGGAUCCGUAACUUCGGAACAAGGAUUGGCUCUAAGGGCUGGGCCGAUCGGGCUGAGGUUUCAAGCGUGCAGUGUAUGCUUGGCUGAGUUGUGUUGAGGACUUGUUCACUUGCCGCCGUUUGUUCGGUUGGUCUAGUGUAUUCGAGUCUGAAGCAGAGCUGGCCGACAGACCGGCACGUGCAGAACCUGAGCUGCGCGGCUGUCCGUUUACGUGUACAGACCGUUUCGGUCGGCAUUCAACAGCCAACUUAGAACUGGCACGGACACAAGGAAUCUGACUGUAUAAUUAAAACAAAGCAUUGCGAUGGCCGAUGAUCGGUGAUGACGCAAUGUGAUUUCUGCCCAGUGCUCUGAAUGUCAAAGUGAAGAAAUUCAAUCAAGCGCGGGUAAACGGCGGGAGUAACUAUGACUCUCUUAAGGUAGCCAAAUGCCUCGUCAUCUAAUUAGUGACGCGUAUGAAUGGAUCAACAAGAUUCCUUCUGUCCCUAUCUACUAUCUAGCGAAACCACAGCCAAGGGAACGGGCUUGGCAAAAUCAGCGGGGAAAGAAGACCCUGUUGAGCUUGACUCUAGUCUGACUCUGUGAAGAGACAUGAAAGGUGUAGCAUAGGUGGGAGAUUGUCAAAUUGCCAUCGUUCGCGCGGUGGUCCGGUGAUCGCCAAUGAAAUACCACUACUUUGAUCGUUUCUUUACUUAUUCGGUAAAGCGAAAAAAUUGUGGCCAAUUUGGCGGUUUAUGUCGCUGUUGGUCAUUGUUUUCAUGUUAGAUUGAAGCUUUGUUUACAGCCGUCGCUUUGUGUCGCCAUUUGACGCAUUGUUGUACUGGGUUAUCCCGGUGUGUGGUGUAGUCAGUAUGGAUGAUCGGCGAUAGGUUUGAAGUGAUUCGCUCCGGAAACAGUGUCAGACGGGGAGUUUGACUGGGGCGGUACAUCUGUUAAACGAUAACGCAGGUGUCCUAAGGUAAGCUCAGCGAGGACAGAAACCUCGCUUAGAGUAAACGGGCACAAGCUUACUUGAUUUUGAUUUCCAGUACGAAUAGAAACCGCGAAAGCGUGGCCUAUCGAUCCUUUUGAUUGUGUAGAUUUCAUGCAAGAGGUGUCAGAAAAGUUACCACAGGGAUAACUGGCUUGUGGCAGCCAAGCGUCCAUAGCGACGUUGCUUUUUGAUCCUUCGAUGUCGGCUCUUCCUAUCAUUGCGAAGCAGAAUUCGCCAAGCGUUGGAUUGUUCACCCACCAAUAGGGAACGUGAGCUGGGUUUAGACCGUCGUGAGACAGGUUAGUUUUACCCUACUGAUGACAAGUCGUUGCGAUAGUAAUCCUGCUCAGUACGAGAGGAACCGCGGGAUCAGACAUUUGGUUCAUGCGCUCGGCUGAAAGGCCGGUGGCGCGAAGCUAGCAUCUGCAAGAUUAUGACUGAACGCCUCUAAGUCAGAAUCUUUUCUAGUCAUUGGCAACGAUAAGUUGCGUCCAGACUCGAUGCGAGGAAACGAUUAGGCUUUGCUAUACGGCGAAGCCAUUAUCAGACCACGGUAGCAGGCAGUAUGGGAUUGUUACGAAAAAGCAAUUUUUUGAAGUCAGUUGAAUUCAAUCAAACUGCUAACAAUUCCACUGCGAAUGACUCCAUUCGAAUCAAU
Molecule: ribosomal RNA, 3494 nt
Filed under: Trichinella sp. T6
Lineage: Eukaryota; Metazoa; Nematoda; Enoplea; Trichinellida; Trichinellidae
Description: eukaryotic LSU rRNA
Rfam family: Eukaryotic large subunit ribosomal RNA (bases 1638-3494)
Source: RNAcentral